Molecule: transfer RNA, 66 nt
Filed under: Coccinellidae sp. 1 EF-2015
Lineage: Eukaryota; Metazoa; Arthropoda; Insecta; Coleoptera; Coccinellidae
Description: tRNA-Ser
Source: RNAcentral
AAUCAAUGAACUUGAACAAGUUUAUAUUUUGAAAAUAUAAGAAAGAAGAAAAUCUUCUAUUGAUUU